This 253-nucleotide ribosomal RNA is filed under the name uncultured bacterium. RNAcentral describes it as "partial 16S ribosomal RNA". It matches the Rfam family "Bacterial small subunit ribosomal RNA", at positions 524 to 776 of the family's 1533-position model. The record is from RNAcentral.
UACAGAGGGGGCGAGCGUUAUUCGGAAUUAUUGGGCGUAAAGGGCGCGUAGGCGGCCCGGUAAGUCAAAGGUGAAAUCCCUCGGCUCAACUGAGGAACUGCCUUUGAAACUGUUGGGCUCGAGGGCGGGAGGGGUUGGCGGAAUUCCCAGUGUAGCGGUGAAAUGCGCAGAUAUCAGGAGGAACACCGGUGGCGAAGGCGGCAUCCUGGACCGGCAUUGACGCUGAGGCGCGAAGGCCAGGGGAGCAAACGGG